UGGGGAAUAUUGGACAAUGGGCGAAAGCCUGAUCCAGCAAUGCCGCGUGAGUGAUGAAGGCCUUAGGGUUGUAAAGCUCUUUUACCCGGGAUGAUAAUGACAGUACCGGGAGAAUAAGCUCCGGCUAACUCCGUGCCAGCAGCCGCGGUCAUACGUAGGGUGCAAGCAUUAUCCGGAGUGACUGGGCGUAAAGAGUUGCGUAGGUGGUUUGUUAAGUGAAUAGUGAAAUCUGGGGGCUCAACCUCACAGACUAUUAUUCAAACUGGCAAACUCGAGAAUGGUAGAGGUAACUGGAAUUUCUAGUGUAGGAGUGAAAUCCGUAGAUAUUAGAAGGAACACCAAUGGCGUAGGCAGGUUACUGGACCAUUUCUGACACUGAGGCACGAAAGCGUGGGGAGCGAA
This 402-nucleotide ribosomal RNA is filed under the name uncultured bacterium. RNAcentral's name for it is "bacterial SSU rRNA". It matches the Rfam family "Bacterial small subunit ribosomal RNA", at positions 355 to 772 of the family's 1533-position model. The record is from RNAcentral.